CCUACGGGUGGCAGCAGUGGGGAAUAUUGGACAAUGGGCGAAAGCCUGAUCCAGCCAUGCCGCGUGUGUGAAGAAGGCCUUCGGGUUGUAAAGCACUUUCAGUGGGGAAGAAAGCCUUGGGGCUAAUACCCUCGAGGAAGGACAUCACCCACAGAAGAAGCACCGGCUAACUCCGUGCCAGCAGCCGCGGUAAUACGGAGGGUGCGAGCGUUAAUCGGAAUUACUGGGCGUAAAGCGCGCGUAGGCGGUCUGAUAAGCCGGUUGUGAAAGCCCCGGGCUCAACCUGGGAACGGCAUCCGGAACUGUCAGGCUAGAGUGCAGGAGAGGAAGGUAGAAUUCCCGGUGUAGCGGUGAAAUGCGUAGAGAUCGGGAGGAAUACCAGUGGCGAAGGUGGCCUUCUGGACUGACACUGACGCUGAGGUGCGAAAGCGUGGGUAGCAAACAGGAUUAGAUACCCCUGUAGUC
RNAcentral lists this ribosomal RNA (465 nucleotides) under Vreelandella stevensii. RNAcentral describes it as "partial 16S ribosomal RNA". It matches the Rfam family "Bacterial small subunit ribosomal RNA", at positions 338 to 795 of the family's 1533-position model. The record is from RNAcentral. Lineage: Bacteria; Pseudomonadati; Pseudomonadota; Gammaproteobacteria; Oceanospirillales; Halomonadaceae.